GUAAAUAAAGUUAUUAAGAAAAAAAACCGGUUCUCGUCUGAUCACCGAAGUUAAGCCUGGUCGGGCGAAGUUAGUACUUGGAUGGGUGACCGCCUGGGAAUACUUCGUGUUGUAGACU
Molecule: ribosomal RNA, 118 nt
Filed under: Paramuricea clavata
Lineage: Eukaryota; Metazoa; Cnidaria; Anthozoa; Malacalcyonacea; Plexauridae
Source: RNAcentral